ACGCUCGACACCUACGGGAGGUAGCAGUGGGGAAUAUUGCACAAUGGGGGAAACCCGUGAUGCAGCGACGCCGCGUGAGCGAAGAAGUAUUUCGGUAUGUAAAGCUCUAUCAGCAGGGAAGAAACUGACGGUACCUGACUAAGAAGCACCGGCUAAAUACGUGCCAGCAGCCGGGUAAUCUGAGCGGGCUGGCAAGGC
This 198-nucleotide ribosomal RNA is filed under the name uncultured bacterium. Its description in RNAcentral is "partial 16S ribosomal RNA". It matches the Rfam family "Bacterial small subunit ribosomal RNA", at positions 328 to 539 of the family's 1533-position model. The record is from RNAcentral.